UCUUCACCACAUUCCUGCCUCAGCCUAAAGUUUGGCACAUGGCGCAUGCCCCAUAAGUAUAUGUCGCAUGAAUGAGUAUCAAAACAAAUAGGUACCAGGAAACACUGGAGAAAUGGCCUGUCUUUAGUGCAUACAUCGAAGAGAAAAAGAAGUCCAGCUUCAGCUUGCCCAUCAACUGGCUGUGGAAGUGCCAUCGGUUAAUUAAUUUCAAUCUCAGAUCACCUGAGUGUAAAUUGUACAGCGACUUUUAAGGAAAAGUGUCUGCUACAGCGAUGGCAACCCUGGUGAUGGAAGACACAUGACUGAGGAAAGUGGCUGAGGUGACUUGGAGAAAGGUAGUAAUUGGAAUUCUACUGUGAAGACGAAUUUACCCAUCAGUGGAGAAAACAGGCAGAAGCCACAUUAACCAAAUGAUCAGCGUUAAGAUCAUCAGUAAUGGGGCAAACUGACAUGUGUUUGUAGGUGUGCUGCACCAAGAAGCUCACAUCUCUUCUGUCAAGAAUACAGAAUUGAAAUUUAGUUAUGAGGAAAUAUUAGACAAACCAAAAUGGAGGGACAUUUUGUAAAAUAACUGGCCAGUAGUCCUCCACAGUGUCACAUCCUGAGGAACUAACAUCCAAUUAAAAGAGGUAAACAAAACAAGGCAAGUAAUUGCAAACAUGUGAUCUUGAAUUAUAGCCUGGACCAGAAAAUGGACAUUAGGGAAACAAUUGGUGAAAUUUGAAUAAAAUGUGUAGGUCAGAUAACAGUAUUAUACCAAUGUGGUUUCCCCCCCUAAUUUUUAUAUCUGUACUAUGGCUACUCAAGAUGUUAUCAUUGGGGGUGGGGGGUUAGGGCACUGAGGUGAAGGAUAUACAGAAAUUCUUUGUAAUAUUUUUGCAACUUUUAAGUCAGCAGUUAUUUCAAAUGAAGAGUUACAAAUAAAAAAAUUA
Myotis lucifugus (little brown bat) is the source of this 932-nucleotide long non-coding RNA. RefSeq lists it as uncharacterized. The transcript has 3 exons. The record is from RefSeq and is a predicted model, not a curated record. NCBI's taxonomy places the organism in Eukaryota, Metazoa, Chordata, Mammalia, Chiroptera, Vespertilionidae.